Molecule: long non-coding RNA, 281 nt
Filed under: Setaria italica (foxtail millet)
Lineage: Eukaryota; Viridiplantae; Streptophyta; Magnoliopsida; Poales; Poaceae
Description: long non-coding RNA (SITA_LNC005478)
Source: RNAcentral
UUCAUAUUGAUUUCUUAGAGAAAAAACGCUCCUUGUUGAGUUGCAGUGGAAGAUAUCUAGGAAAGAAAGCCCUUAAUAUUAUUUAGGGAGCACAUGUAAAGUGUAGAGUUGUACCGAGGCAACUCAACUUCGAGUGCUUCACUUCUAGGCCUUGGAUCAUUCUUGACAGCAUAUGUUGUAUCAAUUUUUUUUGGAGCUAUAUAUGAUCCCUCACUGAUUAGUCAUUUAUUUUUUUCUUUUGUAUUUCUCAUUCAUUUUCAAAAUUACUUUCACACCAGUGC